Molecule: ribosomal RNA, 499 nt
Filed under: uncultured bacterium
Lineage: Bacteria
Description: partial 16S ribosomal RNA
Rfam family: Bacterial small subunit ribosomal RNA
Source: RNAcentral
GACGAACGCUGGCGGCGUGCUUAACACAUGCAAGUCGAACGGGCCCGCCCCUGUUUUUGGGGGUGGGUUGAGUGGCGAACGGGUGAGUAUCACGUGAGUAACCUGCCCCCUGCUCCUGGAUAACUGCUUGAAAGGGCGGCUAAUACGGGGUGUGCCGGCUGGUCCGCAUGGGCCUGGUCGGGAUAGUUUCAUCUUCGGGUGUUUCGGUGGGGGAUGGGCUCGCGGCCUAUCAGCUUGUUGGUGGGGUGAUGGCCCACCAAGGCGGUGACGGGUAGCCGGCCUGAGAGGGUGGGCGGCCACACUGGGACUGAGACACGGCCCAGACUCCUGCGGGAGGCAGCAGUGGGGGGUAUUGCACAAUGGGCGGAAGCCUGAUGCAGCGACGUCGCGUGAGGGAUGGGGGCCUUCGGGUUGUGAACCUCUUUCUCCGGUGGUGAAGGCCCUGUCCGGUGCGGCGGGGUUGACGGUAGCCGGGUAUGAAGCGCCGGCUAACUACGUG